CUUCGCUGUACAAUCUGAAUGAACAGUCCUUUAGAAUUUUUGAGUAAUCCUUCACAAGUAAACACUGCUGGAAAUAAAGCGGGCGUGGAAAGGUGUGUGGACAUGAUUACAGUCGUUACAUUGUUCCCUGAGAUUUUUAAGCUUGCAUAUGUCAAAUUUAUGUCACACCUGUACAGUAUAAGAGGAGCAGGUGUUCUGGUAGGCUCACCAUCCAGGACAACUGAUCUCCAGCACCGACCUGUUCAUCACGAUGAAGCCGAUCCUUUCUCUGACUCUCAUCUGGGCACUCUCCAGCACAGCUGGAGCACUUGUGUGUCAAACCUGCACCGAUACACAGUGUUCAAGCCAGGGGCCUAUGACAUGCACUUCAGAGACGAUGUGUGUAACAGCUAAUAUUCAAGGUAUUAAUUUCUUUAUGUCAUCUAUCCUAAUUCAGUGAAAUAUACUGUAUGCAGUGUUGUGAGUCCAACAUUAACAAACUAACCUUUGAUUUUGUAGCCACUUCAUCUGGAGUGACAGUGACACAGAUCGUCAAGGGAUGUGCACCUUCCUCACUGUGUCCAGCCACAGGCUCUCAGACAUUUUCAGUCAACUUGGGUGCUUCAAGUGCAGUUACAUCUGCUGAGUGCUGCAACACAGAUAACUGCAACACAGCAACUUUACCUGGUAAGUAUAUGUGACUAGUGUGCUUCUGCGUUGUGUUGGUUUGAAUGAUGCUGUGACACCGGGACCUCUUUGGAGACGAUCUCCGUUUAUUCUGACAAAAUAGACAACAAGCAGAACCUCCAUGUAAAUUGUACUGUCCACUCGAGCUCCUCUCCCGCAGGAGAAUUGUACAAAAGAGCGCCCGCGACUACGCGGUAAAAUCAUUAUACAGUGAACAAACAACAUACUCAACAAAACAUACCUGACAAAAUAGACAACAAGCAGAACCUCCAUGUAAAUCGUACUGUCCACUCGAGCUCCUAUACAAAUAAAAUGCAGAUAAAGAUAUCGACAAACCCGCAAGUUAGUUUG
Molecule: long non-coding RNA, 1017 nt
Filed under: Sparus aurata (gilthead seabream)
Lineage: Eukaryota; Metazoa; Chordata; Actinopteri; Spariformes; Sparidae
Description: lncRNA (ENSSAUG00010007850.1)
Source: RNAcentral